This 825-nucleotide ribosomal RNA is filed under the name uncultured bacterium. Its description in RNAcentral is "bacterial SSU rRNA". It matches the Rfam family "Bacterial small subunit ribosomal RNA", at positions 69 to 894 of the family's 1533-position model. The record is from RNAcentral.
GCAGCAUAACAUUUCGGUGUUGAUGGCGACCGGCGAACGGGUGCGUAAUGCGUAUGCAACUUGCCUCGCACUAGGGGAUAGCUUUUGGAAACAGAAAUUAAUACCCUAUAUAAUGUUUUAACCGCAUGGUUUUAAUAUGAAAGAAUUUCGGUGUGAGAUAGGCAUGCGUCCUAUUAGCUCGUUGGUGAGGUAAUGGCUCACCAAGGCAAAGAUAGGUAGGGGGUCUGAGAGGAUGUCCCCCCACACUGGUACUGAGAUACGGACCAGACUCCUACGGGAGGCAGCAGUAGGGAAUAUUGGUCAAUGGGCGAAAGCCUGAACCAGCUAUGCCGCGUGCAGGAUGAAGGUCUUUUGAUUGUAAACUGCUUUUAUGUAGAAAAAACAAGUCUCUGAGGAGGCCCAUGAUGGUACUACAUGAAUAAGCACCGGCUAACUCCGUGCCAGCAGCCGCGGUAAGACGGAGGGUGCAAGUGUUAUCCGGAUUUACUGGGUUUAAAGGGUGUUAAGGCGGUCGUAUAAGUCGAUAGUGAAAGCUAGCAGCUCAACUGUUAAGGUGCUAUCGAUACUGUACGACUUGAGUCUAGUGGAAGUAAGUGGAAUUCUGCAUGUAGCGGUAAAAUGCUUAGAUAUGCAGAGGAACACCAAUAACGAAGGUAGCUUACUAUGCUACGACUGACGCUGACACACGAAAGCGUGGGGAGCAAACAGGAUUAGAUACCCUGGUAGUCCACGCUGUAAACGAUGGUCACUCGAUGUGCGUCCCUUGAGGAUGUGUGUCUAAGCGAAAGCGUUAAGUGGCCCACCUGGGGACUACGUUCGCAAGAA